Molecule: ribosomal RNA, 529 nt
Filed under: uncultured fungus
Lineage: Eukaryota; Fungi
Description: eukaryotic LSU rRNA
Rfam family: 5.8S ribosomal RNA (bases 212-365)
Source: RNAcentral
CGUAGGUGACCUGCGGAAGGAUCAUUAUUGUAUAACACGAGACAUUGAGGCUGUCGCUGACGAAAGUCGUGCACGCCUUGGUGUUCUUACAUCCAUUUCACCCUUGUGCAUCAUCGCGUGGGCCGUUCCCAUUGGGAAUGGUCUACGUUUUUAAUACAAACCCCUAUUGAUGUGUAGAAUGUGUACUUUGCGAUAACAACGCAACUAAUACAACUUUCAACAACGGAUCUCUUGGCUCUCGCAUCGAUGAAGAACGCAGCGAAAUGCGAUACGUAAUGUGAAUUGCAGAAUUCAGUGAAUCAUCGAAUCUUUGAACGCACCUUGCGCCUCUUGGUAUUCCGAGGGGCACGCCCGUUUGAGUGUCGUGAAAUUCUCAACCCUCUUGGUUUUCUUUUGAAGGCUAAGAGGGCUUGNACUUGGAGGUUCUUGCUGGCAGCACUUUGCGAUCAGCUCCUCUUAAAUGCAUUAGCGAGGUCUCUUUGCUGACCUUUGGCGUGAUAGUAUCUACGUCUUUGUGUGCUCUGCUGUA